CGCAUCUGUGCAUGCAGCAUAUCAAUAAGCGGAGGAAAAGAAACUAACAAGGAUUCCCCUAGUAACGGCGAGUGAAGCGGGAAGAGCUCAAAUUUGAAAUCUUAAAGGGUUUCCCUUUACGAAUUGUAGUUUAAAGAAGUGUUUUCUGUUGAGGUUUUGGUAAAAGUUCUUUGGAAUAGGACAUCAUAGAGGGUGAGAAUCCCGUAUUUGACCUUUACUUUCAACUUUGUGGUACACUUUCAAAGAGUCGGAUUGUUUGGGAAUGCAGUCCAAAAUGGGUGGUAAAUUUCAUCUAAAGCUAAAUAUUGGCGAGAGACCGAUAGCGAACAAGUACCGUGAGGGAAAGAUGAAAAGAACUUUGAAAAGAGAGUUAAACAGUACGUGAAGUUGUCAAAAGGGAAGCGUUUGACACCAGUGUCGUUUUUCUGAAAAUCAAUUAAAGAACUGUUUAUGCUAAGUUGUUUAGACUUUAUCAGCUAACUGUUUAGUUUUGAGCUUUUCUUUAAUGCACUUUUCAGUUAACAAGUCAACAUCAAUUUCUUUUGCUGUAAAAAAGCUUGAGGAAGGUGGCUUGAGAUUCGUCUUAAGUGUUUAUAGCCUCUUGCCUAUGCAGUCGGAGAGAUUGAGGUCUGCAGCGUAGAUCCUUCGGGGCUAAAUGCAUUUGUGCUAAGUUAUAGCAUUUUAUAGACAACUUGUCGACUAUGAUUUGUCUUGUAGCUUACUCGCUUAUGUUAUUUUACCUACGCUUAGGAUGUUGAGUCAUCACACAUCUCU
Molecule: ribosomal RNA, 774 nt
Filed under: uncultured Neocallimastigales
Lineage: Eukaryota; Fungi; Neocallimastigomycota; Neocallimastigomycetes; Neocallimastigales
Description: partial large subunit ribosomal RNA
Rfam family: Eukaryotic large subunit ribosomal RNA
Source: RNAcentral